UGGGGAAUAUUGGGCAAUGGGCGCAAGCCUGACCCAGCAACGCCGCGUGAAGGAAGAAGGCUUUCGGGUUGUAAACUUCUUUUAAGAGGGAAGAGCAGAAGACGGUACCUCUAGAAUAAGCCACGGCUAACUACGUGCCAGCAGCCGCGGUAAUACGUAGGUGGCAAGCGUUGUCCGGAUUUACUGGGUGUAAAGGGCGUGCAGCCGGGUCUGCAAGUCAGAUGUGAAAUCCAUGGGCUCAACCCAUGAACUGCUUUCAAAACUGUUUUUCUUGAGUAGUGCAGAGGUAGGCGGAAUUCCCGGUGUAGCGGUGGAAUGCGUAGAUAUCGGGAGGAACACCAGUGGCGAAGGCGGCCUACUGGGCACCAACUGACGCUGAGGCUCGAAAGUGUGGGUAGCAAACAGGAUUAGAUACCCUGGUAGUCCACACCGUAAACGAUGAUUACUAGGUGUUGGAGGAUUGACCCCUUCAGUGCCGCAGUUAACACAAUAAGUAAUCCACCUGGGGAGUACGGCCGCAAGGUUAAAACUCAAAUGAAUUGACGGGGGCCCGCACAAGCGGUGGAGCAUGUGGUUUAAUUCGACGCAACGCGAAGAACCUUACCAAGUCUUGACAUCCCUUGACGAUGCUGGAAACAGUAUUUCUCUUCGGAGCAAGGAGACAGGUGGUGCAUGGUUGUCGUCAGCUCGUGUCGUGAGAUGUUGGGUUAAGUCCCGCAACGAGCGCAACCCUUAUGGUCAGUUACUACGCAAGAGGACUCUGGCCAGACUGCCGUUGACAAAACGGAGGAAGGUGGGGAUGACGUCAAAUCAUCAUGCCCUUUAUGACUUGGGCUACACACGUACUACAAUGGCGUUAAACAAAGAGAAGCAAGACCGCGAGGUGGAGCAAAACUCAGAAACAACGUCCCAGUUCGGACUGCAGGCUGCAACUCGCCUGCACGAAGUCGGAAUUGCUAGUAAUCGUGGAUCAGCAUGCCACGGUGAAUACGUUCCC
RNAcentral lists this ribosomal RNA (997 nucleotides) under uncultured bacterium. RNAcentral's name for it is "bacterial SSU rRNA". It matches the Rfam family "Bacterial small subunit ribosomal RNA", at positions 355 to 1375 of the family's 1533-position model. The record is from RNAcentral.